Molecule: ribosomal RNA, 440 nt
Filed under: uncultured bacterium
Lineage: Bacteria
Description: partial 16S ribosomal RNA
Rfam family: Bacterial small subunit ribosomal RNA
Source: RNAcentral
CCUACGGGAGGCAGCAGUGGGGAAUAUUGCACAAUGGGGGAAACCCUGAUGCAGCGACGCCGCGUGAGUGAAGAAGUAAUUCGUUAUGUAAAGCUCUAUCAGCAGGGAAGAAAAUGACGGUACCUGACUAAGAAGCCCCGGCUAACUACGUGCCAGCAGCCGCGAUAAUACGUAGGGGGCAAGCGUUAUCCGGAUUUACUGGGUGUAAGGGGAGCGUAGACGGUCCUGCAAGCCAGAUGUGAAAGCCCGGGGAUCAACCCCGGGACUGCAUUUGGAACUGUAAGGCUAGAGUGUCGGCGAGGCAGGCGGAAUGCCUAGUGUAGCGGUGAAAUGCGUAGAUAUUAGGAGGAACACCAGUGGCGAAGGCGGCCUGCUGGACGAUGACUGACGUUGAGGCUCGAAAGCGUGGGGAGCAAACAGGAUUAGAUACCCUGGUAGUC